UAAAGCAGAGGUGAAGCUGUCCUGGAAGACUCUAGUGAUAAAAAUGUGAUUUAAUAAGAAAAUCAAGGAUAUGGAAGCAUCUUCCAGGAGCUUUUUCACAUGGUGUUUUUACCUCGAAUCUCCGCUGGAAGAGAGUGUGUGUGUUCACAGAUUGGCCAGAUUCUCGCCAAAGUCCAUGAGAGAUCUUUGGGAGCACUUCACACACAACUGUUCCAAAACUAAAAUUGUGGUAUUUGCAAGACGCCCUAUUUUACAUCGCUGGUUUUUUAAUGGAGUCCAACUUGAACAAGUGAAACAAUUCAAAUAUCUCGGGAUUGUUUUCUCUGCUACUGGAUCACGACUACUGCACAGAGAUUAUGUUAUCCAGAGUGGAAGAAGAAGUGCUAAUUUGAUCCAGUCCUUUUUCCGCUCUAGAGGUGCUCAGUAUGUCCCAGCAGCCAUCAAACUAUUUAAUGCAAAGCCAAUAGGGAGAGAGCAAGCAAGAGACUGCUCCUUGGAUAGAACACAAUGAUUCUACGUCAGUGCCUCUACCUAUUUGCUCCAGCAUUUUCAGAAAACCUCUCUUGAAACCAGCAUUUUAAAAACCUGGAAAUACACUGAGAUAAGCUGGAAUUCGAAAGACAAAGCCCGAUUUGUGUGUGGAGUGCUUCCAAGGAUCUCGAAUUUGGGAUUGUACCCAGUGCAAAACAUCUCCGAGCACAGAGAAAAAGGAAGAACCUAUGGUUGCCGUCUGGAUUUUUUCCGAAUGGACCAAUGCAGCUGCCUGCAGUUUCUAGGACUCAGACAGUGAUGCCUGUGACUGACAGGAUGGAUAUGAGAUUUUUAUAUGGAUCAACAGCAGGAGAGAGGGGAUGCCCUCAGGUCUUGCCUAUGGGUUUCCCAGAGGAAUCGGGUGGGCCACUAUGCUGGACUAGAUAGGCCUUGGGCUUGAUCCAGCAGGAUUGUUCUUAUGGGGUUAACAAAGUACUUGUGGAAUCUUUAAAAAAUAGUGUUUCUAAAGGGGUGGAAAGAUACAGAUGAAACCCCCCCCCAAAGACUUUCAUCUUUUCUUCUCUCCAUGAUCCUUGCCUCAUGUUUGAAAUUAUUUUUUUUGCCUGUAUUAUUAUUAUUAUUAUUAUUAAUUUUUACAUUUAUAUCCCGCUCUUCCUCCAAGGAGCCCAGAGCAGUGCACUACAUACUUGAGUUUCUCUUUCACAACAACCCUGUGAAGUAGGUUAGGCUGAGAGAGAAGUGACUGGCCCAUAGUCACCCAGCUAGUUUUAUGGCUGAAUGGGGAUUUGAACUCGGGUCUCCCCGGUCCUAGUCCAGCACUCUAACCACUACACCACACUGGAUCUCAUACUUAUUCCACUCCACCCCCGUGGGUAAAUAUCACAUACAUGUUAUAGAGUAGACUCUGGUCCACAUGAUGCUCAAGGCAACACUGGCACUCCUGACUGGGUAGCAUUGCCGCCUAUAUGGAAGUCAGCCCUAGCAGUGUUGUACAAGAGCACAGUUACGCAGCUACCUAAAGCAGUGC
Molecule: long non-coding RNA, 1519 nt
Organism: Hemicordylus capensis (graceful crag lizard)
Lineage: Eukaryota; Metazoa; Chordata; Lepidosauria; Squamata; Cordylidae
Exons: 4
Source: RefSeq, a predicted model, not a curated record